ACAUUGGUGGUCCAGUGGUAGAAUUCUCACCUUCAAUGCGGGACACCCAGGUUCGAUUCCUGGCCAAUGCA
RNAcentral lists this transfer RNA (71 nucleotides) under Trichechus manatus latirostris (Florida manatee). RNAcentral's name for it is "tRNA-Sup (TCA) (tRNA-Sup-TCA-9-1)". It matches the Rfam family "tRNA". Rfam says of the family: Transfer RNA (tRNA) molecules are approximately 80 nucleotides in length. Their secondary structure includes four short double-helical elements and three loops (D, anti-codon, and T loops). The record is from Rfam by way of RNAcentral. Lineage: Eukaryota; Metazoa; Chordata; Mammalia; Sirenia; Trichechidae.